AUUUUUGGAUAAUCGCGUGGUGAUUUGUCACCAUGAGGAAAGUCCAUGCUAGCACCGGCUGUGAUGCUGGUAGUGUUUGUGCUAGGCGAAUGCAUAAGCCUAGGGACAUAGAAAUAUGUUACGGCGAGUGAACUGGCUAAGUCUUCGGAUAGGUCACAAUAGCUCUGAAAGUGCCACAGUGACGGAGUUCUCAUGGAAACGUGAGAAGUGGAACGCGGUAAACCCCUCAAGCUAGCAACCCAAAUUUCGGUCGGGGCAUGGGAAAGCUGGAAACGAACGGUCUUUCCUGACUGCAAAGCAGUAGACAGAUGAUUAUCGAAGGUGGUAGUACCUAGUACCACCGGAACAAAACAUGGCUUAUAGAA
This 365-nucleotide RNase P RNA is filed under the name Streptococcus varani. Its description in RNAcentral is "Bacterial RNase P class B". It matches the Rfam family "Bacterial RNase P class B". Rfam says of the family: Ribonuclease P (RNase P) is a ubiquitous endoribonuclease, found in archaea, bacteria and eukarya as well as chloroplasts and mitochondria. Its best characterised activity is the generation of mature 5'-ends of tRNAs by cleaving the 5'-leader elements of precursor-tRNAs. The record is from Rfam by way of RNAcentral. Lineage: Bacteria; Bacillati; Bacillota; Bacilli; Lactobacillales; Streptococcaceae.